AGGACGAACGCUGGCGGCGUGCUUAACGCAUGCAAGUUGAGCGGAAAGGCCCUUUUGGGGGUACUCGAGCGGCGAACGGGUGAGUAACACGUGAGUAACCUGCCCUGGACUUUGGGAUAACCCUCGGAAACGGGGGCUAAUACCGGAUAUGACUUGGCCUCGCAUGGGGGUUGGGUGGAAAGUUUUUUUCGGUCUGGGAUGGGCUCGCGGCCUAUCGGCUUGUUGGUGGGGUGAUGGCCUACCAAGGCGACGACGGGUAGCC
RNAcentral lists this ribosomal RNA (262 nucleotides) under uncultured bacterium. Its description in RNAcentral is "partial small subunit ribosomal RNA". It matches the Rfam family "Bacterial small subunit ribosomal RNA", at positions 26 to 288 of the family's 1533-position model. The record is from RNAcentral.